GAAAUAAUGUCUGUUUCAUAUAAAUUUAAAUUCGAAAUUUAUAUUUUAGUUAAAAAGCUAAAAUUUAAUUAAAAGACGAGAAGACCCCAUAAAUCUUUAUAUUAAGUUAAUAUUUAUUAUUUAGUAAAUUAAAUUAAUUAUUAGCAAUAGUAUUUUAUUGGGGUGAUAUUAAAAUUUAAUAAACUUUUAAUUUAUUAUUACAUUAAUUUAUGAUUAGUUGAUCCAUUAUUAUUGAUUAGUAGAAUAAGUUACUUUAGGGAUAACAGCGUAAUUUUUUUGAAGAGUUCAUAUCGAUAAAAAAGAUUGCGACCUCGAUGUUGGAUUAAGAAAUAUAUUUAGGUGUAGAAG
This 348-nucleotide ribosomal RNA is filed under the name Ornithomya avicularia. Its description in RNAcentral is "partial 16S ribosomal RNA". The record is from RNAcentral. Lineage: Eukaryota; Metazoa; Arthropoda; Insecta; Diptera; Hippoboscidae.